This 1589-nucleotide ribosomal RNA is filed under the name Rhinolophus macrotis (Big-eared Horseshoe Bat). RNAcentral's name for it is "partial 16S ribosomal RNA". It matches the Rfam family "Bacterial large subunit ribosomal RNA". Lineage: Eukaryota; Metazoa; Chordata; Mammalia; Chiroptera; Rhinolophidae. The record is from RNAcentral.
GAGGAACACGGGCCACAUUUUAGGAAUGCUCAAGUGGGUCGGAGCUGUGCUGAAGAAAAUGGCAGAGCUCGGUUAUUGCAAUGAAAACAUUUACCUCCGUGAAAGUAUAGGAGAUAGAAAGCUCACUUGGCGCUAUAGAGAAAGAACCGUAAGGGAAUGAUGAAAGAUGACCAAAAGUACAAGACAGCAGAGUUUACCCCUUUUACCUUUAGCAUAAUGAUUUAACUAGAACAAGUUAGCAAAGAGAUCUUAAGUUAACUGCCCCGAAACCAGACGAGCUACCUACAAACAGCUUCACAGAGCAAACCCAUCUAUGUGGCAAAAUAGUGGGAAGAUUUGUAGUUAGAGGUGAAAAGCCUACCGAGCCUGGUGAUAGCUGGUUGUCCAGAAUAGAAUAUUAGUUCAAAUUUAAAUCUUACCUGAAAAAACCAACAAUUCCAAUGUAAGUUUAAAAGCUAGUCUAGAGGGGUACAGCCCACUAGACACAGGGUACAACCUUUAUUAGAGAGUAAGCCACGAUCAACACCAUAGUUGGCCUAAAAGCAGCCACCAAUUAAGAAAGCGUUAAAGCUCAACAAACCCACAACCUUAAUCCCCAAAACAACGAGCCAACUCCUAACGUACACAACUGGACUAUUCUAUUAUUAAAUAGAAGCAACACUGUUAAUAUGAGUAACAAGAACUAGUUCUCCUAGCACAAGUUUAUAUCAGAACGGAUGCCCCACUGAUAGUUAACAACAAACGCACACACAACCCAAAGCCAGGACCGUGCCACCAAAACAAGUUGUUAGUCCAACACAGGAGUGCAGUAAGGAAAGAUUAAAAGAAGUAAAAGGAACUCGGCAAACACAAACCCCGCCUGUUUACCAAAAACAUCACCUCUAGCAUUCUAAGUAUUAGAGGCACUGCCUGCCCAGUGACAUCCGUUCAACGGCCGCGGUAUCCUGACCGUGCAAAGGUAGCAUAAUCACUUGUUCCCUAAAUAGGGACUUGUAUGAAUGGCCACACGAGGGUUUUACUGUCUCUUACUUCCAAUCAGUGAAAUUGACCUUCCCGUGAAGAGGCGGGAAUGCUUAAACAAGACGAGAAGACCCUAUGGAGCUUUAAUUAACUGACCCAAUAAAGACAUAUUACUACCCACCCAGGGUCCAACUCCCCUUUAUAUGGGCCAGCAAUUUAGGUUGGGGUGACCUCGGAGCACAAAAAAACCUCCGAGUGAUUAAAGUCUAGACUAACCAGUCGAAACAUAACAUCACUUAUUGAUCCAAAAUUUGAUCAACGGAACAAGUUACCCUAGGGAUAACAGCGCAAUCCUAUUUAAGAGUUCAUAUCGACAAUUAGGGUUUACGACCUCGAUGUUGGAUCAGGACAUCCCAAUGGUGCAACAGCUAUUAACGGUUCGUUUGUUCAACGAUUAAAGUCCUACGUGAUCUGAGUUCAGACCGGAGUAAUCCAGGUCGGUUUCUAUCUGUUCUAAGCUCCUCCCAGUCCGGAAAACAACAGAAGCAAGGCCUAUCCACUAUAAGCGCCUUUACGGUGAAAGAUGAUUUAAUCCUAAUGCGAGUAACUGCGAAAUAGAGCCGCCUGUA